Molecule: long non-coding RNA, 363 nt
Filed under: Brachypodium distachyon (stiff brome)
Lineage: Eukaryota; Viridiplantae; Streptophyta; Magnoliopsida; Poales; Poaceae
Description: long non-coding RNA (BDIS_LNC005322)
Source: RNAcentral
CCCCAUCGGCCCUUCCCUCAACUCUGGUGGCUCCGACGACCCGCAGUUCAAGCAGCUCGUCGCCGGCCUAGGCGCCGGGGCUUCAGUCCUGGGAGGUCUCCUGUCCGCCGCCGGCGUAGGCGCCGGCACAGGCACAGGCGGGGCUUCAGCCCUGGGAGGUCUCCUCACCGCCGCCGGCCUAGGCGCCGGCACAGGCACAGGCGAGGCUUCAGCCCUGGGAGGUCUCCUCACCGCCGCCGGCCUAGGCGCCGGGGCUUCAGUCCUGGGAGGUCUCCUCUCCGCCGCCGACCUCCUGACCAGGUAUAUGGCCCCCGGCUCCUCGGGCUCCGAGAUCGGGCUCUCCACCGGCGGAUCCACCGGGAC